UGGGGAAUAUUGCACAAUGGGCGCAAGCCUGAUGCAGCAACGCCGCGUGAACGAUGAAGGUCUUCGGAUCGUAAAGUUCUGUUGCAGGGGAAGAUAAGACGGUACCCUGUGAGGAAGCCCCGGCUAACUACGUGCCAGCAGCCGCGGUAAUACGUAGGGGGCUAGCGUUAUCCGGAUUUACUGGGCGUAAAGGGUGCGUAGGUGGUCUUUCAAGUCGGUGGUUAAAGGCUACGGCUCAACCGUAGUUAGCCUCCGAAACUGGAAGACUUGAGUGCAGGAGAGGAAAGUGGAAUUCCCAGUGUAGCGGUGAAAUGCGUAGAUAUUGGGAGGAACACCAGUAGCGAAGGCGGCUUUCUGGACUGCAACUGACACUGAGGCACGAAAGCGUGGGUAGCAAACAGG
Molecule: ribosomal RNA, 402 nt
Filed under: Verrucomicrobiota bacterium
Lineage: Bacteria; Pseudomonadati; Verrucomicrobiota
Description: Verrucomicrobia bacterium partial 16S ribosomal RNA
Rfam family: Bacterial small subunit ribosomal RNA
Source: RNAcentral